RNAcentral lists this transfer RNA (68 nucleotides) under Escherichia coli. Its description in RNAcentral is "tRNA-Arg". It matches the Rfam family "tRNA", at positions 10 to 71 of the family's 71-position model. From Rfam's summary of the family: Transfer RNA (tRNA) molecules are approximately 80 nucleotides in length. Their secondary structure includes four short double-helical elements and three loops (D, anti-codon, and T loops). Lineage: Bacteria; Pseudomonadati; Pseudomonadota; Gammaproteobacteria; Enterobacterales; Enterobacteriaceae. The record is from RNAcentral.
CCUCAGCUGGAUAGAGUACUCGGCUACGAACCGAGCGGUCGGAGGUUCGAAUCCUCCCGGAUGCACCA